This 466-nucleotide ribosomal RNA is filed under the name uncultured bacterium. RNAcentral's name for it is "partial 16S ribosomal RNA". It matches the Rfam family "Bacterial small subunit ribosomal RNA", at positions 28 to 507 of the family's 1533-position model. The record is from RNAcentral.
GAUGAACGCUGGCGGCGUGCUUAACACAUGCAAGUCGAACGGAAAGGCUCCUGCUUGCAGGGGUACUCGAGUGGCGAACGGGUGAGUAACACGUGGGUGAUCUGCCCUGCACUUCGGGAUAAGCCUGGGAAACUGGGUCUAAUACCGGAUAGGACGAUGGUUUGGAUGCCAUUGUGGAAAGUUUUUUCGGUGUGGGAUGAGCUCGCGGCUUAUCAGCUUGUUGGUGGGGUAAUGGCCUACCAAGGCGUCGACGGGUAGCCGGCCUGAGAGGGUGUACGGCCACAUUGGGACUGAGAUACGGCCCAGACUCCUACGGGAGGCAGCAGUGGGGAAUAUUGCACAAUGGGCGCAAGCCUGAUGCAGCGACGCCGCGUGGGGGAUGACGGCCUUCGGGUUGUAAACUCCUUUCGCUAGGGACGAAGCGCAAGUGACGGUACCUGGAGAAGAAGCACCGGCUAACUACGUG